Long non-coding RNA from Drosophila busckii, 1405 nucleotides. RefSeq lists it as uncharacterized. NCBI's taxonomy places the organism in Eukaryota, Metazoa, Arthropoda, Insecta, Diptera, Drosophilidae. The transcript has 3 exons. The record is from RefSeq and is a predicted model, not a curated record.
CUAACGCUAUUGGUUUUGUUUCUUUGUAGAUGGACUUUGGUAUUGUCACGAGCAGCCACCGUCUCUGAGCUUGAAUUUUAUGCACACAAAGACGAGCUGCUACAUCUCAACCCAAGCAGUUUAUAAUGGAUCUGUUUCAGUACUUAAAGCAUGCCUGUCAAUAUCUGCAACUCAGGUCAGGCAAACCAAUUGCAGCGACGUCCAAAAUGAGCACCGAAGCCGCUUCCUCUGACGCCGCCUAAUCGUCCACAGCUGCAGAAACAACAGCAACGGCGGGGAAGCACCUCUGAUGAAGUUCUCAACGUCUACAAUCGCUCAAAAAGCCGCAAAAAGCUCCAGACAGAUACACAGGCCGAACAGCAGCAGAUAAUAUAACUUUUCCACCGAUUUCUGGCCAACAAUAUUUUCCUGGAUGAAAGAGCAACUUUUACAUUUUGUCUAUCUAUUUUGUUGGAAUUCCAGUGUUAAGGCUGUGGCUUUUGAAGUUGUCGCGUUGGUGUCCUUGCCGCCUGUGAAAAUGAAUGCUGUUCUGAGCCCUCGUCCACCAUCAUAGAUUCACGCCCAUCUAACCAUGUCGUAAACAGCAAAGCCAGGCGCUCCAAAAUGAGCAUCAAUACCUUGAGCACAUCCAAAUGCGAAGAGCCAAAUUUGUCAAAAAUUGAGCCGCAAGUAUAGGACGGAGCACUAGUUCGAUACCGAUGAGUUUAUAUAUGCUUGCUAUGUCACAAUCAAAGAUUACAUGAUAUUAUUGCUGAUUGUCUGCAUUGAUUUUCUGCUGAAGCUGACAACAUUCUUGGCACAUAUUUUAAUCCACGCUAACGGGCAAAGGUAUUAAAUAGGCGUAUACAAUCAUCUCAGGCAGUGUUCGGCUAAUAAGCAGAGCACCUUCAUACCCCUCUAAAUAGUGCGCAACAAGUGCAGCUUUAACAUAGAGUUGCAGGAGCAUAUGCGUCCUGGCUGCUGUUUGAUCUGCAGCAGUGCGAGUCGCUUUGGCCCAAGUACGACUCAUGGCACAAGUAGGUGGUGCGUGUGGAUGAGAAGAUACCCAACCAUUUAUGCCAUGGCGGCGUUAAUAUAGAUGUAGACUACUAAUUAUGACGUUUUAUUGCGAUCACCGAUGUUCAGGCCACAGAUGCGAAAAGAUAUUAUUUAACAUGAGAAGCACACAAGCACGAGCACAUGCUGAAGCUCAAACAGCGUGACUUAUUAGCCUGGAGCUAUCCAUCGGGCUCUAGAAUCUUAGUCUUUGGCAAGGCAAGGAAACUGAUUUAAGACGCAAGAUGGCAAAAUCUUCCCGUAUUGUCUAGCGCUAUGUUUGCUAAUUGUUUGACAUGACACAAAAUUCAAUCAAUACAUGGGAAUUAACCGCUAAGAGACCACGUUUGUAUUCUUGCUUGUUUUCAUU